Molecule: long non-coding RNA, 298 nt
Filed under: Parus major (Great Tit)
Lineage: Eukaryota; Metazoa; Chordata; Aves; Passeriformes; Paridae
Description: lncRNA (ENSPMJG00000019454.1)
Source: RNAcentral
CAGAAGAGCAGAUUAUGCAGACUUAAAAACUAAUAACUUUUCACUUGUUUUUCAGCUUCCACUUCUGAAUAAACUGAGUCAAAAGUAGUGGAGUGGUCCACACACUGUCCAGUAGAGGACUCCUACUUCAGCUGAGGUUAAACCACAGCUUCUGUGAGUCAGUUUUGCUAAUGAGAUCCUUGAUUUCACAGCAUCCAUCCUUCCCACUAACUCUGGAGCUGAACUUUUUGGUAACAUGAAUUGAUGCCAAAUUCUUUCGAUGUCUGUGCGUAGAGGGAUGAAGGAUCAUUAUUUGUGC